This 256-nucleotide ribosomal RNA is filed under the name uncultured bacterium. RNAcentral's name for it is "partial 16S ribosomal RNA". It matches the Rfam family "Bacterial small subunit ribosomal RNA", at positions 32 to 263 of the family's 1533-position model. The record is from RNAcentral.
AAUCAACGCUGGCGGCGUGCCUAACACAUGCAAGUCGAACGCGAAAGUCCCGCAAGGGAUAAGUAGAGUGGCAAACGGGUGAGUAACGCGUGGGCGGCCUACCUUCGAGUGGGGGAGUAACCUUCCGAAGGAGGGCGUAAUACCGCCAUGACAUCCCGUCGUUUGGUAGUACACGGACAUCAAAGACCGGGGAGUCGUAAGACCUGGCGCUUGAAGAGGGGCCCGGCGUCCGAUUAGCUAGUUGGUGGGGUAACGG